Molecule: ribosomal RNA, 497 nt
Filed under: uncultured bacterium
Lineage: Bacteria
Description: partial 16S ribosomal RNA
Rfam family: Bacterial small subunit ribosomal RNA
Source: RNAcentral
GAUGAACGCUGGCGGCGUGCCUAAUACAUGCAAGUCGAGCGAACAGACGAGGAGCUUGCCCCUCGGACGUUAGCGGCGGAGGGGUGAGUAACACGUGGAAAACCUACCUAUAAGACUGGGAUAAAUUCGGGAAACCGGAGCUAAUACCGGAUAAUAUAUUAAACCGCAUGGUUCAAUAGUGAAAGACGGUUUUGCUGCUACUUAUAGAUGGAUCCCCGCCGCAUUAGGUAGUUGGUAAGGUAACGGCUUACAAAGGCAACGAUGCGUAGCCGACCUGAGAGGGGGAUCGGCCACCCUGGAACUGGGCCCCGGUCCAGACCCCUACGGGAGGCGGCGUUAGGGAAUCUUCCGCAAUGGGCGAAGGCCGGACGGGGCAACGCCGCGGGAGGGAUGAAGUUCUUCGGUCGGUAAAACUCUGUUAUUAGGGAGGAACAAUUGUGUAAGUAACUAUGCACGUCUUGACGGUACCUUAUCAGAAAGCCACGGCUAACUACGUG